ACCUACUCUACUUGGUGUAGCAUAGCCAGCUGAAGCCGAGGAAUCACUGGACUUCCAGUCCUCAUCUUACCCUAACUCCCAGGGCACCAAGGGCUGAUCCUGACUUUGGUUCCAGUUUCGUCUUGGUGUUUUACAUCAGAGUGUUUGGCCUACAUCAUGAACGGCUGUGUGUGAUGCCACUAGGUGGCAAUGUGGACGUUUUAUUUAAAAGACCAUGGAUGGUUUGCUGUACAGGUGGCCCUACAAAUAGUGCAGACGUGUGCAUUUGUGCUGCCUUUGAUGGGGUGGAAAUCCCUUUUGAUUUCUAAAGUAAAUGAGGAGAACUUACAGCAAUAAUAGACUCCUUUGAACAACUAACAUAUAUUCAAAAUUCUGUAACAGAGACCUGUGGUAAAAAUGGUGAAGACCCAGCAAGUUUCGUUGGCUAUUCUGUGGCUUCAGUUACACUGGGUAAGCGGUAAAAAUGGAGUGGAGCAGAGUCCCCAAUACCUGAGUGCCCAGGAAGGAGACCUCGUCACAAUCAACUGUAAUUACUUAGAAGGAAUGACCACUUUACAGUGGUUGCAACAGAAUCCUGGAGGAGGCAUCAUCUCCUUGCUUAUUCUGAGCCUAGAGAUGAAGAGGAAAGGAAGAGUAAGUGCCACAAUAAACAGCAGGGAACGUUACAGCUCCCUGAACAUCACAGCCUCCCAGCCCACAGACUCUGCCAUCUACUUCUGUGCUGUGGAGACACAGUGCUCUGCAGACAUCUGGAACCUGUACCCAAACUCUGAAGCUGAAAGGCAUCAUCUCUUCUCAUCCUUGUCUUUCCAUAUUCAUCUGUCUCUUUCAUCAGACCGAUGAGACUCCUUUGACCAACUAAAAUAUAUUCCAAAUGAUGCAUUUCAAAAACUUUUUAAAUUUAAGAUUUCCCCCCUGCAGACCACCCCUAAUCGCUAAAGCAUCAUCACCAAGUAUGUUAACUAGAACAAUAUAUGAGCUAUUGCAUAAGAAGUAGAAUAUACACUCUCUGGAGCUAAAUUGCCAGGGUAUAAAAAUACUGGUUCCACCUCUUGCUAACUGGAUGAUCUUGGUCAAGUUACCUUUCUAUAUGCCUCAGUUUUUACUCAAUUAUUUAAAAAAAAAAAAAGGGAAACCGUUAACCACAGUACCUAACUCCUAUUUGUGGGAUGACAUGUGAUAACACAU
Bubalus bubalis (water buffalo) is the source of this 1188-nucleotide non-coding RNA. The record is from the annotation of a RefSeq genome assembly. NCBI's taxonomy places the organism in Eukaryota, Metazoa, Chordata, Mammalia, Artiodactyla, Bovidae.